Molecule: transfer RNA, 64 nt
Filed under: Hydatigera taeniaeformis
Lineage: Eukaryota; Metazoa; Platyhelminthes; Cestoda; Cyclophyllidea; Taeniidae
Also listed under: 1 other name
Description: tRNA-Ile
Source: RNAcentral
GUUAAUAGGGCUGCGAAGCAGGUUACUUUGAUAUAGUAAAUAGUGAAUUAUUAUUCCGUUAAUA